GAUGAACGCUAGCGGCAGGCCUAACACAUGCAAGUCGAGGGAGAAGCCUUUCGGGGCAGAAACCGGCGCACGGGUGCGUAACGCGUAUGCAACCUACCUUUCACAGGGGGGAUAGCCCGAAGAAAUUUGGAUUAAUACCCCAUAAUAUUGUUGGAUGGCAUCAUCUGACAAUUAAAACUGCGGUGGUGAAAGAUGGGCAUGCGUCCUAUUAGCUAGUUGGAGUGGUAAUGGCACCCCAAGGCUACGAUAGGUAGGGGUCCUGAGAGGGAGAUCCCCCACACUGGUACUGAGACAGGGACCAGACUCCUACGGGAGGCAGCAGUGAGGAAUAUUGGUCAAUGGUCGGAAGACUGAACCAGCCAUGCCGCGUGCAGGAAGAAUGCCUUAUGGGUUGUAAACUGCUUUUAUAUGGGAAGAAUAAGGUGUACGUGUACAUUGAUGACGGUACCAUAUGAAUAAGCAUCGGCUAACUCCGUGCCAGCAGCCGCGGUAAUACGGAGGAUGCGAGCGUUAUUCGGAAUCAUUGGGUUUAAAGGGUCUGUAGGCGGGCUAUUAAGUCAGGGGUGAAAGGUUUCAGCUUAACUGAGAAAUUGCCUUUGAUACUGGUAGUCUUGAAUAUCUGUGAAGUUCUUGGAAUGUGUAGUGUAGCGGUGAAAUGCUUAGAUAUUACACAGAACACCGAUUGCGGAGGCAGGGGACUAACAGACGAUUGACGCUGAGAGACGAAAGCGUGGGGAGCGAACAGG
Molecule: ribosomal RNA, 746 nt
Filed under: uncultured Capnocytophaga sp.
Lineage: Bacteria; Pseudomonadati; Bacteroidota; Flavobacteriia; Flavobacteriales; Flavobacteriaceae
Description: bacterial SSU rRNA
Rfam family: Bacterial small subunit ribosomal RNA
Source: RNAcentral